GCGACGCUAGCUCAGUUGGUAGAGCGCAACCUUGCCAAGGUUGAGGUCACGAGUUCGAACCUCGUGUGUCGCUCCA
Molecule: transfer RNA, 76 nt
Filed under: Vibrio cholerae
Lineage: Bacteria; Pseudomonadati; Pseudomonadota; Gammaproteobacteria; Vibrionales; Vibrionaceae
Also listed under: 3 other names
Description: tRNA-Gly
Rfam family: tRNA
About the family: Transfer RNA (tRNA) molecules are approximately 80 nucleotides in length.
Source: RNAcentral